GCUGGCCCGGGUGCUAAGCCCCUCAUUGCCCGGGGCCGGCAGGGCCGGCCGGCUGCUCGGAGUGCAGGGCCCAACAAGGCCACGCCCACCCGGAACUCCAGCUGGCCUGCAAGCGCCGCCCGCAGCCGCGGUUCCCGCCGGCGCCUCUCCCUCCACACCUCCCUGCAAGCUGAGGGAGUGGGCUCCGGCCUUGGCCAGCCCAGAAAGGGGCCCCCACAGUGCAGCGGUGGGCUGAAGGGCUCCCCAGGUGCAUCCAAAGUGGGAGCCCAGGCAGAGGAGGCGCCGAGAGCGAGAGAGGGCUGUGAGGACUGCCAGCACGCUGUCACCUCUCAGAACCAGGGGAGAAACCUGAGAAGUGUCUUUCAGCACACUACCUGGAUCCUAAUGGCUACUUCUGCAGAGAGAACACCAGAGGGGAAAGGAAUCUAUCAGAAGGCAAGAUGUUAAUGUAUCAAGGAAAGAUAACGAACUAAGAGAAAACUGGGAAGGAAUAUGCAGAGAGAAGCAAAAUGCCACACUAACAGAAGGUAUUCUCAGUUAAGGGGCCAAUUUUGUUUCUAUUUAUUGUUUAAGUUCUCCAUACUUAAAAAAUUUAAAUAAUAAAUUGUUGUCAUAAGACAGUUAUUACACCAAGAAGUACCUUACAAUUAAGCUCAAGACCUACAGGAAGCUAUUAAAAUUAAUGGAGGAGCCAAAUGUGGAGCAGAACAUCUCUGGACAUCAAGUUGACCGGCCAAAAUUUCCUGGAACAGGAAUCUUAGGAGAAGAAGAAAGAAAAGGGGUUUGUCUUGCUAUAUCUGGAGUGGCAGAGUGAAAGAAAAUAUGUAUGUAAGUGGACCCACGCAGCUCUAACCUAUGUUGUCCAAGAGUCACCUGCACAUGGUAGAAAACUUAUCAAGAGGAGGUGGAGCAAGAUGGCAAAAUAGAAGCCUCCACUGAUCAUCCCCUCACAAAGACACCAAUUUAACAACUAUCUACACAUAAAAGCACUUUCAUAAGAACCAAAAAUUACGUGAGCAUUCACAGUACCUGGUUUUAACUUCAUGUCACUGAAAGAGACACUGAGGAGGUAGAAAAAAGUCUUGAAUUGCUACCACCCCUCUAUCCCCCCGCAGUGGCAGCUUGGUGCAGAGAGAGAAUCUGAGCUACUUGGGAGAGGAAGAGCACAGCAAUUGUGAGACAGUGCAUUGAACUCAGUCCUGCUCUGUUAUAGAAGAAAGCAAAGCCGGAAAAACUCAGCCAAUGCCAGCAGACAGAGGGAGCAUUUAGCCCAGUACUAAACAGAGAAGACUCACUCAUCCCAGCAGUUGGAACCUAGGUUCCUGCAUGCUUCGCUACCACAGGCUAAAGUGCUCUGGGGAUCUCAAUAAGUUCGAAAUGCAGUCUAGGCCACAAGGACUGCAACUCCAAGGUUGCAGGAGUGCUGAACAGGGCUCAGAGCCUGGGGACUUCGGGGACUUGCAGCCUACUGAGACACCAGGUGGGGUAGCUAAGGGAGUGCUGGUGCCACACCUCCCCUAACUCCACGUUCCACAGCUCAUGACUCCAAAAAGGACCCCUUCCUUCUGCUUGAGAAGAAGAGAGGAAAUAGAGGGAAAACCUUUGACUUGUAUCACAAAUACUAGCUCAGUCACAUCAGGAAAGGGCACCGGUCAGUCAUGAAAGCCUCUGUCUUCUCAGUGAGAAGAGGAGUGAGUUUGAAUAGAAUGGGAAGCAAUUUUGCCUUAAGCAGUACCCAGCUUGACUUUCCCCUUUAGCUUAGUGAUUUUGGGGCUCCAAGAUUUAUUUUCCUUUCACAGUGUGUAUGAUCAGAGCAUGAACAGAUUAUUCACAAAAAACAAAUCAAAUAUACAUGUAAAAGAUGUUUCUUCAUGAUUAAUCAUAAAAAAAUAAUUUAAC
This 1899-nucleotide long non-coding RNA is filed under the name Homo sapiens (human). Its description in RNAcentral is "HSALNT0085767". Lineage: Eukaryota; Metazoa; Chordata; Mammalia; Primates; Hominidae. The record is from RNAcentral.